AUUGAACGCUGGCGGCAGGCCUAACACAUGCCAGUCGAGCGGAUGAAGGGAGCUUGCUCCUGGAUUCAGCGGCGGACGGGUGAGUAAUGCCUAGGAAUCUGCCUGGUAGUGGGGGAUAACGUCCGGAAGCGGGCGCUAAUACCGCAUACGUCCUGAGGGAGAAAGUGGGGGAUCUUCGGACCUCACGCUAUCAGAUGAGCCUAGGUCGGAUUAGCUAGUUGGUGGGGUAAAGGCCUACCAAGGCGACGAUCCGUAACUGGUCUGAGAGGAUGAUCAGUCACACUGGAACUGAGACACGGUCCAGACUCCUACGGGAGGCAGCAGUGGGGAAUAUUGGACAAUGGGCGAAAGCCUGAUCCAGCCAUGCCGCGUGUGUGAAGAAGGUCUUCGGAUUGUAAAGCACUUUAAGUUGGGAGGAAGGGCAGUAAGUUAAUACCUUGCUGUUUUGACGUCACCAACAGAAUAAGCACCGGCUAACUUCGUG
This 484-nucleotide ribosomal RNA is filed under the name uncultured bacterium. Its description in RNAcentral is "partial 16S ribosomal RNA". It matches the Rfam family "Bacterial small subunit ribosomal RNA", at positions 30 to 507 of the family's 1533-position model. The record is from RNAcentral.